Molecule: long non-coding RNA, 760 nt
Organism: Nomia melanderi (Alkali bee)
Lineage: Eukaryota; Metazoa; Arthropoda; Insecta; Hymenoptera; Halictidae
Source: RefSeq, a predicted model, not a curated record
AGUUAAUCGUUUGCCGCGCUGACUAGGCCUGCCGUCGGCGGAUCGUUGCCAUUCGCGACGACACGAUGCUUUUUUACACGUGGUUCAACGGGGUCAUCCGCAGUGCAUAAAAAAUCGAUCAUCAACGAGAAAUAAAAAUUCAAUCAAUACAACGAUCACUAAUUUCUCCGUGGACGACACGAGGCGACGCGAACCGAGGCACAGCAAGCAUAAAGUCUCCGCGCGUCAUGGAGAAAUGAACGAUACAACGGUGGCGCGGCGAUGUUCGGCUCGAGGGAGGAGUGAAAUCGCGACCGAUCGCGCAACAAUGGAGAUCACACUGUCCGAGGCAUCUCCGGCGGGAACCCUUGCGGACAUCCGAAUCCGCCAUCUCCGAAUCCGUCCAGCCACUCAUCCGUCGAGACCGGCGGGGACCGAGCGAGAAGGGAAAAAAAGAGAGCCAAACCGACUGCCAUCCUUCACUGUCAUGGCCAGUAACACCGUUACGUAGCCAUUAAGGCGCGUUCACACUUCACCGUACCCGUGAAACGAUUCCGGCCGGGAAAUCUGUGCAGGCACAGAGGACUCGUCUGACAGCGUGUCGAGGUACGACAAGUGACGAUUCGAGUGUCCCCCGAUAGCGACAGUAUCCUGAGGAGCAAGGCGCUAGACGAUAAUGACGACGGCGGCGGCGAGAACGACGGGAACGGCAAGCGGAACAGCGUGAGCUGGAGAGGAAAGACACAGGGAGAGGAUUGCAAGGCGUCGCGGCGCUGGUCGG